Molecule: ribosomal RNA, 3085 nt
Filed under: Salmonella sp. NCTC 7297
Lineage: Bacteria; Pseudomonadati; Pseudomonadota; Gammaproteobacteria; Enterobacterales; Enterobacteriaceae
Description: 23S ribosomal RNA
Rfam family: Bacterial large subunit ribosomal RNA
Source: RNAcentral
UUAAGCGACCAAGCGUACACGGUGGAUGCCCUGGCAGUCAGAGGCGAUGAAGGACGUGCUAAUCUGCGAAAAGCGCCGGUAAGGUGAUAUGAACCGUUAUAACCGGCGAUGUCCGAAUGGGAAACCCAGUGUGACUCGUCACACUAUCAUUAACUGAAUCCAUAGGUUAAUGAGGCGAACCGGGGGAACUGAAACAUCUAAGUACCCCGAGGAAAAGAAAUCAACCGAGAUUCCCCCAGUAGCGGCGAGCGAACGGGGAGGAGCCCAGAGCCUGAUCAGCAUGUGUGUUAGUGGAAGCGUCUGGAAAGGCGCGCGAUACAGGGUGAGAGCCCCGUACACAAAAGCGCACGUGCUGUGAGCUCGAUGAGUAGGGCGGGACACGUGGUAUCCUGUCUGAAUAUGGGGGGACCAUCCUCCAAGGCUAAAUACUCCUGACUGACCGAUAGGUGAACCAGUACCGUGAGGGAAAGGCGAAAAGAACCCCGGCGAGGGGAGUGAAACAGAACCUGAAACCGUGUACGUACAAGCAGUGGGAGCCCCACCACUAAGCCAGUGGUGAACUCCACAUACGCAUCCUUUUGCUGAGGAUACGGUUAACGGAGCGAAAGCGACGUUUAACCGCAAAAGAAGCAGAGGGGGCUUAGUGGUGGGGUGACUGCGUACCUUUUGUAUAAUGGGUCAGCGACUUAUAUUCUGUAGCAAGGUUAACCGCAUAGGGGAGCCGGAGGGAAACCGAGUCUUAAUUGGGCGUUAAGUUGCAGGGUAUAGACCCGAAACCCGGUGAUCUAGCCAUGGGCAGGUUGAAGGUUGGGUAACACUAACUGGAGGACCGAACGACUAAUGUUGAAAAAUUAGCGGAUGACCUGUGGCUGGGGGUGAAAGGCCAAUCAAACCGGGAGAUAGCUGGUUCUCCCCGAAAGCUAUUUAGGUAGCGCCUCGUGAAUUCAUCUCCGGGGGUAGAGCACUGUUUCGGCCAGGGGGCCAUCCCGGCUUACCAAUCCGAUGCAAACUGCGAAUACCGGAGAAUGUUAUCACGGGAGACACACGGCGGGUGCUAACGUCCGUCGUGAAGAGGGAAACAACCCAGACCGCCAGCUAAGGUCCCAAAGUCAUGGUUAAGUGGGAAACGAUGUGGGAAGGCCCAGACAGCCAGGAUGUUGGCUUAGAAGCAGCCAUCAUUUAAAGAAAGCGUAAUAGCUCACUGGUCGAGUCGGCCUGCGCGGAAGAUGUAACGGGGCUAAACCAUGCACCGAAGCUGCGGCAGCGAACGUAUCACCCAAGACAACUUUGCACAGUUGACGACUGACGGAGCGAAGCGACGUCAAAGCGUUUUACAACGUCGAGUUGGCUUAGGGAUACGUUCGUUGGGUAGGGGAGCGUUCUGUAAGCCGUUGAAGGUGGCCUGUGAGGGUUGCUGGAGGUAUCAGAAGUGCGAAUGCUGACAUAAGUAACGAUAAAGCGGGUGAAAAGCCCGCUCGCCGGAAGACCAAGGGUUCCUGUCCAACGUUAAUCGGGGCAGGGUGAGUCGACCCCUAAGGCGAGGCCGAAAGGCGUAGUCGAUGGGAAACGGGUUAAUAUUCCCGUACUUGGUGUUACUGCGAAGGGGGGACGGAGAAGGCUAUGUUGGCCGGGCGACGGUUGUCCCGGUUUAAGCGUGUAGGUGUGUGUUCCAGGUAAAUCCGGUUCACUUUAACACUGAGGCGUGACGACGAGGCACUACGGUGCUGAAGCAACAAAUGCCCUGCUUCCAGGAAAAGCCUCUAAGCCUCAGGUAACAUCAAAUCGUACCCCAAACCGACACAGGUGGUCAGGUAGAGAAUACCAAGGCGCUUGAGAGAACUCGGGUGAAGGAACUAGGCAAAAUGGUGCCGUAACUUCGGGAGAAGGCACGCUGACACGUAGGUGAAGUGGUUUACCCAUGGAGCUGAAGUCAGUCGAAGAUACCAGCUGGCUGCAACUGUUUAUUAAAAACACAGCACUGUGCAAACACGAAAGUGGACGUAUACGGUGUGACGCCUGCCCGGUGCCGGAAGGUUAAUUGAUGGGGUCAGCGCAAGCGAAGCUCCUGAUCGAAGCCCCGGUAAACGGCGGCCGUAACUAUAACGGUCCUAAGGUAGCGAAAUUCCUUGUCGGGUAAGUUCCGACCUGCACGAAUGGCGUAAUGAUGGCCAGGCUGUCUCCACCCGGGACUCAGUGAAAUUGAACUCGCUGUGAAGAUGCAGUGUACCCGCGGCAAGACGGAAAGACCCCGUGAACCUUUACUAUAGCUUGACACUGAACACUGGUCCUUGAUGUGCAGGAUAGGUGGGAGGCUUUGAAGUGUGGACGCCAGUCUGCAUGGAGCCAUCCUUGAAAUACCACCCUUUAAUGGCUGGUGUUCUAACGUGGACCCGUAAUCCGGGUUGCGGACAGUGUCUGGUGGGUAGUUUGACUGGGGCGGUCUCCUCCUAAAGAGUAACGGAGGAGCACGAAGGUUGGCUAAUCCUGGUCGGACAUCAGGAGGUUAGUGCAAUGGCAUAAGCAGCUUGACUGCGAGCGUGACGGCGCGAGCAGGUGCGAAAGCAGGUCAUAGUGAUCCGGUGGUUCUGAAUGGAAGGGCCAUCGCUCAACGGAUAAAAGGUACUCCGGGGAUAACAGGCUGAUACCGCCCAAGAGUUCAUAUCGACGGCGGUGUUUGGCACCUCGAUGUCGGCUCAUCACAUCCUGGGGCUGAAGUAGUCCCAAGGGUAUGGCUGUUCGCCAUUUAAAGUGGUACGCGAGCUGGGUUUAGAACGUCGUGAGACAGUUCGGUCCCUAUCUGCCGUGGGCGCUGGAAGAUUGAGGGGGGCUGCUCCUAGUACGAGAGGACCGGAGUGGACGCAUCACUGGUGUUCGGGUUGUCAUGCCAAUGGCACUGCCCGGUAGCUACAUGCGGAAGAGAUAAGUGCUGAAAGCAUCUAAGCACGAAACUUGCCCCGAGAUGAAUCUUCCCUGAGCCUUUAAGGCUCCUGAAGGAACGUUGAAGACGACGACGUGAUAGGCCGGGUGUGUAAGCGCAGCGAUGCGUUGAGCUAACCGGUACUAAUGAACCGUGAGGCUUAACCUU